CGCUCCUUGGAGAGGCUGUGGGCUUUGGGCUUCAGCGCAGAAGCUGCGAGUGUAGCAGGUUUCGUACCUGGUGUUCCUUGCCGUUAAUUCAGGACUGCUGCCACCAGGCACGUCCCUGGGUCCCGCCGCUCCCUCCACACUCUCGGCACUGCCAGCAGUAAGAAAUUUUGCUACGACACUCGCUUCAGCAAGAGAUCUGCUUUCUUAGAACUGUAGCUGUCUGACUUUGAACCUGAGGAUGACUGCACUUACCCCAUGUCUCUGCUCAAGUGCUGGGAUUACAGGUCUGUGUGUGCUGUGUUCCUGUGGUGCCCUACAAUACCAGAAGAACAUACGGAGUCCCCUGGAACUGGAGCUACAAGUUCCAGGAGUCAAAUUUGAUCUUAUGCAUGCUUGGCAAGCAGUCUAUCCCUGAUUUCAAUCCUCUAGCCUUUAGGGGUUUUUUUGAGACAGUCUUUCUUUGUAGCUCAUGCUGGUCUCCUACGUAAUCCUCCUACCUUGUCUCCAGAAUGCUGGGGUUACAGGCCUCUGCUACCUUGCCUAUCCAAAGUUAACUUUUUACACAUUAAGAAAACAAACAUGAAAGAAGAAGAGGCUUUUCUAGGAAGGAGUAUGGGGAACAUAGAAGGGGGAUGAGAAGGUGAUGCUGUUAGAAAAUAUGCUGCUUGUGAUGACAUACAUUGAGCCCUUUGAUCCAGUGAAGUUAUUAAAGAAUGUAGUUUUGAAAUCAUGGUAAAAUCUGGGGUACUUGCUUUUACAGCCGAUCCUACAAAUUGAAAUCAGUUGGCUUCUGAAUUUCUCCCCAGGAAAAUGAAGAUCAAGAACGCACCUCGACACAGCAGGGAUUCUGAGGAGUAAUGGAUCCAUAAAUAUCUCAGACGGAGACAUGGACAAAGGAACAGGUAUGUCCUCCAUUAGGUAAGUGAUAGUUGACCAUGGAAGAAACAUUUUGCUGGUGUAGUGGCUCAUGCCUGUAAUGCCACCACUUGGGAGGCUGAGCCAGGAGGAUGCAGGCAGGGCUACAUAGUUAAGACCCAUCCCAACUGAAGAAAAGGAGUAAGGGACGAAAAAAAGUUACCCCUUUUCCCUUUGGCUAUUUUCUGGUAUUUGUUGUAUUCAAUAGGUUUUCUAUGACUGAGCUAGCCUGACAUUUCUGGGAAAACUCUACUUCCCAAGGCUUCUGAAUUCAGUCUGUUAAAUUUGCUAUUUUUAAUUUUAUUCUUUUUUUUUUAAUUCAUUAGUGUUUUAUUUCCAGAUCCCAAUUUUGGGUGGGGAAGGUUGAAAGACUUUUGUCAUUUGAUGGAAUCAUUACUGAUAUGGUUUUUACCUGCUUAUUCAAACUAAGGAGAUCUCAAACAUAUGCCAUGCCGUUAAAUAUGCUUUAAUGGCAUCAUUUUAAAACUGGCACACAGUAUCCACUGUAUGAAUAGAGGACAUUAAUUUACAUUUGCUGUUUCGACUCAUCUUAGUGUUCUGCCUUCCUUCUUUUCUCUUCUGAGCUGGAGAUCUAAUCCAGGACUGUUACAGGCUAGGCAAGCAUACUUCCACUGAGCUACGCCCCCAGCCCAAAGUGCUCUCUUAACUGUACUUACAUAGAGAACGCUACAGUUAGCAUCCUUGUAGGUCAGUUGUUCAAUAUCAUGCUUAUCUCCUGAGAUUGGAUGAAGUAUACAGUCCCUCUAAUGAAUAUGAAGAUAGCCAUUUUUCCACAUUCCACAUUGACUCCAGUAAACUGUAUUAAGUGAUUUUCGAAAAAAUUCACCAAUUGCAAGAUAAAUGUAGUAGUUCAUGCCUAUAAUGCCAGCAAUUGGAAGACUGAGGCUGGAAUAUCACUGGAAGAUGGAGUCCAGCAUGUCCUUUGUUAUGUAAUUCUGUUCUCCAAAAUACCACAAACAAGAAAAGAAAAUUUUUUUUUUACUGUUUGUGAAAGCAAUUGAUUCUUAAUGAAAUAAAGCAAGCAUAGUGUUUUUUGGCUCUUCGAGUUUUAUUCCUCUUUUAAAUUUUUUGUUGUUGUUGUUGUU
Molecule: long non-coding RNA, 2021 nt
Organism: Peromyscus leucopus (white-footed mouse)
Lineage: Eukaryota; Metazoa; Chordata; Mammalia; Rodentia; Cricetidae
Exons: 7
Source: RefSeq, a predicted model, not a curated record